AUGUGGUUACUCAUUUCCAAUAAAAUUGAAUCGAUACAAAGAAUAUUAGCAUGACUCGUACACGAACGAUACACACAAAUCGAGAAAUGGUAUUAGAUUUG
Vitis vinifera (wine grape) is the source of this 101-nucleotide small nuclear RNA. Lineage: Eukaryota; Viridiplantae; Streptophyta; Magnoliopsida; Vitales; Vitaceae. The record is from Rfam.